CAAUUUUCACCCCUAAUGAACAAAAAUUUUCAUUUUUCCAUAAACAGAAGUUUUCAAUUUUUUAACCCCCCAUUAACAAAAAUUUUCACCCCCCAAUGAACAAAAAUUUUCAAUUUUCACUUCCCAAUUAACAAAAACUUUUAAUUUCCCAGUGAGAGUGGCGAGGACUGCGUGGUGAUCCUGGAUGACGAUGAGGAUGUGCAGGAGAUCCCCGAUGAUGGGGAUGUGGCGUUGAAGAGAUCCCGACAGAGGAGCCCCCCGUGGGACACAGAGACCCCAAAAUGUAAUUUGGGGAGGGGGAUUUGGGGGUGCUGCACAUCCCCAACCCCCCGGAAUUGCGGGUAAUGAGGGGCUGGGGUCCCCCAAAACAGCUCAGGGUGUUUGAAGGCCUUUUCACAUCCCCCUCCCCAUUUUUGGGGGGUCCUAAAUCUCCUCAAUCCCCCCCUCACACACCAAGGGGACGAACACAAACAUUUCCUCAUUUCCUGGUUGGUUGUUUUUUUUUUUUUUUUUGUACAUUUUGGGUUCAAAACUUGUAAAAUUUGCUUUUUAUAUUGAAGAAUUAUAUUAUAAUAAAGAGAAAGUUUUAACAGAUUUAUGUGAGAUUUCCUCUUGAAUCACAAGGGAGUUUGUGGGGGAUUUCAGGGGGAUCUUCUUCUUCUCCUUCCUCUUCCUCCUGCUCUUCAAUUCCCACAAUUUGUGGUGGAAUUUUCCCCCUCAUCCCCACCGGUUCCGGUGCUUUCCCAGUUUCCAUCCCGUUCCCGGUGCCUCCAUCGCCCCGGUCCCGGUUUCCCUCCUCGUUUCUAUCCCGGUCCCGGUGCUUCCAUCCCGAUCCCGUUCCCGCUGCCCCAGCCUGGCUCCAGUCCCGUUCCCGCUGUCCCGGCCUCGCUCCCCGUCCUGAUCCCGUUCCUGGCUCCAUUCCCGCUGUCCCAGCCUGGCUCCGGUCCCGGUUCCUGUCCCAGUCCCGCUGCCCCAGCCUCUCUCCGGUCCCGUUCCCAGUCCCAAUCCCGUUUCUGGUCCCGUUCCCAUUCCCGCUGCCCCAACCUCGUUCCGGUCCCGAUCCCGUUCCGGGCCCUGUUCCUGCUGCCCCAGCCUGGCUCCGGUCCCGUUCCCGGUGUCCCAGCCUCGCUCCGGUCCCGUUCCCGGUCCCCUUGCCCCAGCCUUGCUCCGGUCCCGAUCCCAAUCCUGUUCCUGGCCCCGUUCCCGCUGCCCCAGCCCCGCUCCGUUCCCGCUGUCGCUGUCCCGGUCCCGUUCCCGUUCCCGCCGUCGCUGUCCCGUUCCCGGCCUGCCCCUCCCCGCCCUCCCGCCAGGGGGCGCCACAACCGCGCGUCUCCACCAAUCAGCGGGCGGCAAAUCUGC
This 1359-nucleotide long non-coding RNA is filed under the name Junco hyemalis (dark-eyed junco). RNAcentral describes it as "lncRNA (ENSJHYG00000003210.1)". The record is from RNAcentral. Lineage: Eukaryota; Metazoa; Chordata; Aves; Passeriformes; Passerellidae.